This 1532-nucleotide long non-coding RNA is filed under the name Macaca fascicularis (crab-eating macaque). RNAcentral's name for it is "lncRNA (ENSMFAG00000055437.1)". Lineage: Eukaryota; Metazoa; Chordata; Mammalia; Primates; Cercopithecidae. The record is from RNAcentral.
UUUUUUAUUUUUAUUUUUGAGACAGGGUCUUGCUGUGUCAUGCAGGUUGGAGUGCAGUAGCAUGAUCACAGCUCAAUGCAGCCAUGACCUUCCCAGGCUCAAGCAGUUCUCCCACCUCAGCCUCCCAAGUAGCUGGGACUUCAGGCGUGUACCACCACACCUGGCUAAUUGUUGUAUUUUUUGUAGAGACAAGGUCUCGCCAUGUUGCCCAGGCUGGUCUUGAGCUUCUGGGCUCAAGUGAUCCACCCACCUCGGUCUCCCAUAGCACCUCAUGUCUCAAUCACUUUAGCUCUUGGCUCAUCGAUCUUGCUCACAGGGCUCCUGUCUUAAUCUGUGGUGAUUUCAGUAUACAUGCAGAUGACCUCUCCCACCCUCUGGCCCUCAGUUCCUGAAAUAUUUCCACUCCCAUGACCCUGACCUCCUGCCCAUGACUGUCAUUACAAGUCACAAACUUUCUGACCACCAUGUCCUGUCUUUCCAGCUCACCCUUCCCAGGACAGCAACUCCUACCAUCUCCCAGCCCCACUGAAGCCAAAAAUCCACGGAUCUUGCUACCUUUACACCAUCCACCACCCCUCCCGCCACUUCCUGACCUCUUUUCCCUCCUUGUCCAUCUAAAUGCCAGAGUGGAUUUUAUUGUCGCUCGCUGUGCACACCUGAGAUUCCCUUGUUCCUCAUUUGCCUUGUUUUAUUCAUUCAAACACGCCAUUAUUCUGCCCUUGAACCCUGAAGCUUAACAGAGCUUAAAACCCCCCCACACACACCACACACACUCACACACACACCACACCACACACCCUGUGCACACACUACACUGCACACCCCACACACACACCAUACACACACACCACACACCACAUACACACCCCACGCACACACCACACCACACACCACACACACACCACACUACACACACACCACACCACACACACACCACACACACGCCACACACACAAUUACAUACACACACUACACCACACACACACACCACACCACACACCCUGUGCACACACUACACUGCACACCCCACACACACACCAUACACACACACCACAUACACACCCCACGCACACACCACACCACACACACACCCCAUGCACACACAACACCACACACCCCACACACACCACACACACACCCCCGCACACACCACACCACACACACCCCACACACACACCACACACACACCACACACACGCCACACACACAAUUACAGACACACACUACACCACACACACACCACACCACACACACACAUACACACACGUAUUCACACACCACACCACACACACAUACCACACACCCACAUACAUCACAAACAUACACCACACCACACACACACAACACACCACACACACACACACACACACACACACACACACGGACUGAUCUCACCUUAGAAUCUUCACUGGACUCCUUAGAUGGGCUGUUCGGACGGCCCAGCGUUUAUACCACGCUUCCUUCUGCCACUCCUGCUCCUACUUCUUAGACUUUCACUCAUUUUCUUCUCUCCUCAAACCUCUAGUACACCC